RNAcentral lists this long non-coding RNA (225 nucleotides) under Mytilus galloprovincialis (Mediterranean mussel). The record is from RNAcentral. Lineage: Eukaryota; Metazoa; Mollusca; Bivalvia; Mytilida; Mytilidae.
CUUAAGAGGUUUCGGUCAUGCCUCAGUGAUUCCCUUUAUAAUCAAUCAAUUUUUUCCAGAAGGGGGAACUAUCCCCCCUUAAUCCGCUUCUGAUCUUUCUCGCAUUUAAAAAUAAGAUAAAAUGAGUAAAAAAAUAUGUUAUUUCCGAGAUUGGUGACUUUUUCAACUCGUACCAUAAUUUUUAUGGAUAAUUACCCAAACCAUUGUGUAAUACAAAUUAAUUUA